GCCUGGAUGGUGGAAUUGGUAGACACCCGAGACUUAAAAUCUCGUGAGCUUAAGGCUCGUGCGAGUUCGAUUCUCGCUCCAGGCACCA
RNAcentral lists this transfer RNA (88 nucleotides) under Deltaproteobacteria bacterium. RNAcentral describes it as "tRNA-Leu". It matches the Rfam family "tRNA". Rfam says of the family: Transfer RNA (tRNA) molecules are approximately 80 nucleotides in length. Their secondary structure includes four short double-helical elements and three loops (D, anti-codon, and T loops). Lineage: Bacteria; Pseudomonadati; Myxococcota; Myxococcia. The record is from RNAcentral.